Long non-coding RNA from Gasterosteus aculeatus aculeatus (three-spined stickleback), 1310 nucleotides. NCBI's taxonomy places the organism in Eukaryota, Metazoa, Chordata, Actinopteri, Perciformes, Gasterosteidae. The record is from Ensembl.
CGUGAAUGAAUGCGUCUGCCCCAGAAAAGAUUAGAGAGAGAGGAGCCAAACUCAAGGUCUGUCUGCAUUCUGCCAUUUGCCCACCAGACGGGACCGUGGGGCGACUGUACUAGCUGGCACUAUUGUGUUCUUGUGAAUGGAGGCCCUGUCACAGACCCACAAACACACUGACCUCGCUCUGUUAUCUACCCGAGUCACGGGGUUCAAGCGCUGCAGGUUUCCGACUGUUAGAGAGAAAAUGGAUUGUCUCCUGCCUUUAACAUGUGCCGACCCGUCCUUGGGUGUAGGAGCCUUGGAUGCAGCUGUGGGCCCUGAUACAUACUUGGAUGGCUUGUCUUCCAUUAACCUUGAUCAACUGACUUCUACAAUUUCCAGGUCCAAAUCAUCUACCUGUUUCGUGGAUCCGAUUUCGACUCGGCUGCUUAAGAAGCUUUUUCCUUUAAUUAGUAUGUCUUUACUGGAUAUUACGUAUAUGUCUGUUGACGAGACAUGUACCGCAGUCCUUCAAGGUAGCUGUAAUUAAACCUCUUCUUAAAAAAAAACUAUUCUUGCUCCAGAGGUGUUGGUAAACUACCGCUAAUCUCCUCUUCCUCUAUAAGAUCCUGGAGGAAAUACAAACACAAAUCAGUUGUGUGAGUUUCUACAUAACAAUGGACAAAGGACUCGUCUCUGUUCUUGUCUUGCUGGACCUCAGCUGCCAUGUCUGACACCAUUAACCAUUGUAUCCUGUUGCAGAGACUAGAGACAUCAGGACCACAGAGAGCCUUUACAUCUUCCGUCUAAAGACACACUUCUUUAGAUUAUACCUGCAAUGUAAUUGGUAUUAAAAAUCUGCACUCUGGCUUGUUCAAGUCGUAUUUUUCGGAUCGAUCCCAGUUUGUGCAGUUUGUUCAUCAAGCGGUGAAUCCUUGAUGACUCCAAAGUUGGUCACGGAGUCCCACAAGGUUCUGAGCGUGAGCGAUUUUAUUUACGCUCUGUAUGCUUCCUUCAGGCAAUGUUAUUAGAAAACACUGCAUAAACGUCUGUUGUUAUGCAGAUGACACUCGAUUGUAUCUGUCGAUCAAGCCAGAUGAGACCGACCAGCUCGUUAGACUUCAGGAAUGUCUUGGAUGACCAGCAAUUUUCUGAUGUUAAACUCAGACAAAACAGAUGUUGAUAGGACCAGAGGGCCUUUGAAGUCAGCCGUCUUGUGAUCUCUGGUGAUCUGGUAUCCAGGAGAGGGAUCCCUCCUCUGCCGUUCCCCCCAAGGUCUGAUGCAAAUUAGUGAUUUACGAUUCUUGGCUAUAUAAAAUAAAAUGAAUUGAAUGGAA